RNAcentral lists this long non-coding RNA (1148 nucleotides) under Pogona vitticeps (central bearded dragon). Its description in RNAcentral is "lncRNA (ENSPVIG00000012099.1)". Lineage: Eukaryota; Metazoa; Chordata; Lepidosauria; Squamata; Agamidae. The record is from RNAcentral.
UGCCAGAUCUCAUUAGAGAAGAGGUCUUGGAUGGAAGUUGGAAUAAAGCAAAGUUCUGUCUGCACACAAAGCUCUUUUGCAGCAAUGCCCACCUCCCAUUUGUACGUGUGAGAUUUUGUUUGUUUCUGGCAGGAGAUAAUUUUGUCCAAAGCAGCUGCACGCUAAAUCAAAUAUUCAUGCCUUUACCCCCUCCCUGGGCAAAAGGCCGCUGAGAAAGGGUGGUUUCCUGGCUUUAAAACAGAUUGCCACAAACAGACGAAGGCUCUUCCCCAGCCGCCACCUCAGAAAACUUCCAAUCCAGUUUAUGAUGCUUUCAUUGGACUUGACGCCCUACCUCACCAUCUGCAUGUUUGCACCUUAGCUUCCAAAAGGUUAUUGUUAUAAGAAAACAAAUUAACCCGAGAACCUGAAAAAUGCCGCAAAGUACAGGAUAAAAGUCGGUCAAUGAAACCAAAGCGUGAAGCAGCACAAAAGUGGGUGGAUUAAAAAGCCAGAUGAAAAUCCACACGACGGAGUGAGCGCCCGUCGCUUGUCCCAGCUCCCGCCAACCUAGCGGUUUGAAAGCAUGCAAAUGCGAGUAGGUUAAUAGGGACCACCUCGGUGGGAAGGUAACAGCGUUCCGUGUCGAAGUCGCACUGGCCAUGUGACCACGGAAGAUUGUCUUCGGACAAAUGCUGGCUCUAUGGCUUGGAAACGGGGAUGAGCACUGCCCCCUAGAGUCAGAAUACGACUGGACAAAAAAAUUGUCAAGGGGAACCUUUACCUUUACCUUUACCUUUUUAUGAAAAUAAAAAGGCUGCUGAGGGUUGAAGUUAAAGCAAGGUCAUCAUCAUCAUCGUCAUUAUAGCAAGCUUUCUUCUGGGCAGCAUUUCAUAUGUAUGGUGCUACGACUGAGUUGCUCCUUUCCCCCUCGGCCAUCUCGAAGGCUGCAGAACACGGACCAGCAUAUCUGGAGACAUGCAGUCAUUUUAAUCCGGAUACAGUAAUAGCUUCAUACAGUUUUGGACAAAGAACUCAAUUUAUUGACAGAAGAUAAUAAGAGCAGUUCUCCCCAGGCAUUCGUUUCAGGUAUGAUUCAAUGCAAGGAGAGGUUGUCUACCUCCAUUGCAUCCAGAGUUCAUCGUUGUAAUGAGCUUGCUUUAUAUAUA